Pleuronectes platessa (European plaice) is the source of this 422-nucleotide long non-coding RNA. RefSeq lists it as uncharacterized. NCBI's taxonomy places the organism in Eukaryota, Metazoa, Chordata, Actinopteri, Pleuronectiformes, Pleuronectidae. The transcript has 4 exons. The record is from RefSeq and is a predicted model, not a curated record.
CGAUGGUCAUUUCACCUGCAACCGGUCUGGAGAAAAGUCUGCUAGGAAAAUAACAAAGAUGGAGGCAACUGUUAGGGUGAAAUAUAAGGACAGAAAGAAGUACUUCUUCCUAACAUCACCUUUUAAAUUCGAAGUCUUUUUGGAAAGUGUUGCCAAGAAGUUUGAUCUACCCACCCUGGAUAUUAAAGUCUAUGAUGAAACCAGGACCGAAAUCGAUGAUGAGGCAUUCGAAUACAUUCUAAAACAACAGGAUAUUGGGGUCUUAGAAAUUGGGAUCCCAACAGCAAGUGCUGAUGAUUCCUUCAGUUCUAGCACGAUUGGGGAUGGUGAGGCUUCCUUCAGUUCUGGUACACUUGGCGAUGGUGAGCCUUCAUCAGGAUCUGAUGACACAGCAAUCGUGAUCAGAAAUCCCUCAGAAAAAA